This is a long non-coding RNA of Cydia pomonella (codling moth), 4635 nucleotides long. RefSeq lists it as uncharacterized. The transcript has 3 exons. The record is from RefSeq and is a predicted model, not a curated record. Lineage: Eukaryota; Metazoa; Arthropoda; Insecta; Lepidoptera; Tortricidae.
CAAAAUAUUUUUGGAGAUAUUUCCAUAUAAUUAUGUUAUAGAUGAUGAUGUUAAUUCUUCGUCGCUUAAAGCAAUAUUACUAUCUAUAUAGUUGAGGCUAAACUUAGUUAAGAUAAUCUCAAAAUAUAGAGAUUGUAACUGAGUUCGGACUGUAGAUAUCUCAACAACAACACUGAAAUAACCAGUUUUUUUUUACUUAUGUAACUAGUUCGUUUUAUAAUAUUUGAUAGUAUUAAGUAUUCAUAAUUCUACCAAACAAAAAAGUCAAUAACAUGCCACAAGUCAUUUUACCAAUGUUUUAUCUGCAUUCGGAUUUUCCAGCUAACAAUAUUCUGCAUUCAGGUUUCCUCUCAUCAUCUCAACGAGUAUAAUAAUAGAAUGUUUUAUUACCGAUAUCUUGUGGAUUACUAAAACAUCUGUCCCGGAAAAUUCACUCUUGAGAGGGUAGUAGAAAAAACUGCAAUAACAUGUAACAAAGGCGCGCCACCGGCCGAUAAUACUAUGAUUAAUACCCAGCGUUAUCUGCACCGUGCAGGCUCGGAACUACCCCCCUUUUCCCUUCCUACCAGCGUCUUACGAUCCCAACAAAAGCAUAUCAAAAUAAGCCUUAACAGGUUACGAAUAAAGUGUAUGGUUGUUUGGGUAGUGAUAAAGUUUAAGGUAUUCCGAAGGCGCUAUAAGAGUUACGGAUUUCGCAUAAUGCAUACUAUAUUCUAGAAGGGAGAGGGUGUCGAGACCGUGACCGCACGUCUCUCGCACGCGACCAACUAGAGAGUUUUUUUAUUGUUAUUACUUUACAGAAACUUGGGGAGGGAGUUUGAAUAUCGGUUUUAAAUCGAAUAAUAGGAGUAAUGGAGUGAUUGGAGUGAAGAGGACCCUAGCAAUAAAAUGAUUCACGCAUAACCUUGUGAAUAUAUUUUUAUUAUGAUGAAGCAAUUUAUGAACCUUUUUUACGACGUUUGAAUUUCGAAUAGAUUUUGGCUCGACUAAAUUACGGUACGGUAACUUUUUAUGUUUUUAGACUACGGUGUUUGGUUGGUCACUAGGCAUAUUUCUGCAAAUAUGUGUCUGACUACGUGAAAUUGCAAGUUAUGAGAAGGCACACUUCCACACCGAGGUCAAUGUUAAUUCACUGAAAAAUUUGUUUCUAGGGCAACACUUAUAAAAACUUAAAGGCUCAAAUUACUACUCUCGUGCCCUGUCCGGAAUCUGUUUUUGAGUAUAAUGAACAUUCCUACUAAAAACUGUACAUUAGUAUCACUUAUUGAAUGUUAAAUUCUUACGGCCCGAUUCGAAGAAUGAUUCAGACACGUAUAAGAUAUUGGAAAGAUCGAUAACUAAACGACAUGUCAAAAUUGACGUUCAUUUCGAUUCCGCGCUGUGAUCCCAAUUAUAUCUAUCUACGAUAUUUCUAACGACAAAGUGACAUUGGUUGCCCGAAUUGCUUCUGUCAAUUAUACGACAUACAUACAUACAAACGUUAUCUAAACCAAAACUUAUCGUUAUCGUCUCUCAUUCUUCGCAUCCGGCCGUUAAACGAGAUGAUAUUUACUGUCACUGAGCAUAUAAAACAUUAACUUGUCUGUGGUAAAUAACUCGUCAUCUAUGUAAACGUUUCAAAGCCAAUCACCGCCACACGCCUUGAAUCGUACUGUACUUCCCUUUUCUUGUUCUGUCAUAUGCUCAUAUGUCUUCUAAAGGAUAAUAUAGGUAGCAAUUUGACAAGUUACUGAAGUUUCUAGAAAUUUACGACAGAACUAUAAAAACGGGUAAGGCGACACUUUUUAUCUCAUUUAACAUUAUUUAUUUAUUUUUUAUUUUUAGCUAAUUUUUUUUAAAGUACUAACCAUAUAUUUGAAUACGUAGGUAUAAUUAAUUUUCACACUAUUUUUAAUUGUAAUGGAUUUUUAUUAUUUUGUUUUUUGUAAUUAUAUAAUUUUGACAUUACCGGUGGGGUAAUGUUCAAUAUAAAUUGUAUUUGCAUGCAUAUGCUAUGUUUUUAUCUACAAAUAAACGAUUGAUUGAUAAAAUCCUUCGGGCACGGAACAUUUAUUUAGUAAAUGUGACUUAAUUUACGGCGUUAUUCAUUAGAAGGGAAUGACUUUAAAUUAUAAGUGCUUAGUAUGCUCAGCGUUCUCGUAAUAAGUCAAUACGUUGACAAACAUCUCAUCACAGUUCUACAUCCAACUUACCGUCUCUCUCAACUUAUGAAUGUUGCUGAAACAUAAUUACGGCAUUUCACAAGCCAUUGCUUCAGCAAACCUAUUACUGGCACGAUAAACAUCGAUAAUGCGAGCCUUCGGCCGCAGGUGCUAUCAAUUAAUAACCCCCAAAUAUCAUUAGACUGCAGCAGGACUUGUGGGGAAGGGGGGGAAUAAUUGCUCCUCCCCUGGUUGUCAUGUGCACUCCCGUUAUGUAGAUGUGUGUGAUAUUAAUGCUCUAGCGAGGCGUACGGAUACGAGCUUUAAUGAUUCUAAGAGUAGCUCCUUAAAUCCUGUAAAUACCUUUGGAUAUUUGUUAUCUUUACCUUUUUUGUUCACAGAUAUUUUGUCUGAUGACGCCAUUCAAAACCUAUGGAUUAUGGUCGAGGUAGGUCUUUAUAAAUAAGUGCCUGGUUAAGUUAUAGAUAUUACAACAAAUUUGAAUUUUUAAAAAUGAUAGAUUGAAGUACUCAUAAAUAUAAAAUAUAUUUGGAAAUAAUGUCAAAAGUGAUUAAUGAUUAACUAUAUUGGUUGGAUACAGAUCUGUACGAGAGUGGAGUGUGCAGAUUCGCUAUCACAGAAAGGAGAGACGAAUAAAACAAAUUUUCGGUUUUCAAUCUCGUUCGUAGCAGCUACAUCGUAGCAUUGCUACGCGCUACGCGGCUACGAGGCAGGGCAGCUCAACCGAGAUCAAAGUCGGCUAACCAGCCAGGCCUGCGCUGGUAACGGCCUAUCCGUCAUAACGCGCAAUCCCAGUAACGCCGUGUUCCGUUCCUUGCGACGAUCGCAUCAGCAGUAAACGCGGCCCGAUUAAGCCCAUGAUAUCGGAACGAAAUAGGCUCAGGAGGUACGAAGAUUUUUGAGCUAUUUUGUGGUUUUAGAGGUCUACAAAGAUUUUUUCCUAUGAAAUAAGAGAUACCUAGCUAUUUUCUGCAUGCUAAUUAAAUCGAUUGAAAUGAGUAGAUAUUAAAGUAAACUAUCACAUUUCCAUUUCAUUAAUCAUUUCGUGAUAACCCUGCUUAGUUUGUAAUAGUUUUUACUAACUUUAUUGAUAACGUAUUUAGUCUAAAUUAAUGCAUAUUUUUCCCUGUAACUUUCCUAUUUUCGGUCCAAAGCAAAUCACAUCGCGGGCGAGGUAAACCUUGUUAUUCCCAUUACAACUCAUCCAAUAUUUCAACGAUCGGCAACUUUCUGACAUGCAUGUCCUAAGACAAAGUGUGUUAUUUCUCGGGGGAACGCGGGGCCGGGAGUGCCAGGAGGCGGAGGGGAUAGUAAUAUUUUUACGAGCGAUUUUAUUGUGCGCACUAUAAAUUUGUCAUCGCUGCAUUCGCUUCACGAAGAUUGCUAUUAGCGCACAGAGAUUAUAAUAACUAAGUAUCAAAACAAGAUGUUUAUUUAGUAGCUACUUUCUUUCCAUAACUACUAACUUCAUCGAGUACUGUCGUUUCCAGUCUCUAAUACUUUAAUACGUUAAAUACCUACAAACUCUUUGCUUUCAAUGCAGACGUGUAAGGUGUCAUAAAUAGGUUGGUAUAACGCAAUCUAAUGGCUAACCAGUUCUAUACCGGUAUUCCCCCAAUUAUGGCAUUUCAUGUUAUUUGUAGUUUGGCCGUAGUUUGGGGCGCGUGAUUAUGGGCCACUUAACCGAAAUGUUCCCACAGCGGCGCGGGCGCAGCUUCAUACAGAGAUGGGCAACCAAAAUAUGUUAUUUUUAUGUAUCUGUUAUUUUCACGGUAGAUGACGUGUCAGUGGUUUGGUAUAUUUUGGUAACAUAUUUAAUUACUAACUGUUUAAUUAUAGCAAAUUAGGAGCAUUAAAAUGAUCCUAAUAAUCCUGCCUGCAGUUUUGUACAUUUACCACAUAUUUAUCUGAUUACAGUGUGUUAGUAAUAUGGCAUGUUUUGAUAUGUAGUAUAUUUCUACUAGCACUUAGUAUUAUUUAUUUCGUUUUACUUUACUUGUGUCUUACUUUAAAAUGGAUUAGGAUUAUUUAAUUACAGCCUAAUUAGUGAAUAUGAAAUGCGGCUAUUAGAGAUGCUUGCCUUGGAAAGGCACUGCUGUUACUUUCCGUUAUAUUUUUGUAAAAUUAUAUUCUAUAAUAUUAACAUAUAGAGAGGAAAAUGGGGACUACGCUUCUAUGGAGAAUAUCCUCUUAAUAUUAAUGUGACAAUCAGUACGAAAACUUCACCAUUAUCGACUGAUACAAUAUACAUCCUAUAUGCAUUUGUAUUAUAAGAGAUAAAAGUUUCAAAUUAAUAUCAAAAAGAAAAUGUUGGUAGCCCCUGGCCACCUCAGCGUUUAGCAGAGUGGCGACGACAUGAUGACGCGGCGCUUCACACACCUCUCCUCGUGUUCCAGGUUGCUCGUGACCGCCUCCCGCCACCUACUGACUGCCGGCUCUACUCACGCCUACUAACGGUUCUCAGUAGUUCUAC